GACAGAGGUGCCGAGCGUUAGGCGGAAUCACUGGGCUUAAAGCGUGUGUAGGCGGAUUGGUAAGUCCCUUGUGAAAUCCCACGGCUUAACCGUGGAACUGCUGGGUAUACUGCUUAUCUUGGGCCACUUAGGGGUUACCGGAACAAACGGUGGAGCGGUGAAAUGCGUAGAUAUCGUUUGGAACGCCAAUGGUGAAAACAGGUAACUGGGAGUGUGCCGACGCUGAGACACGAAAGCCAGGGGAGCGAACGGG
Molecule: ribosomal RNA, 253 nt
Filed under: uncultured bacterium
Lineage: Bacteria
Description: partial 16S ribosomal RNA
Rfam family: Bacterial small subunit ribosomal RNA
Source: RNAcentral